This 75-nucleotide transfer RNA is filed under the name Ahrensia marina. RNAcentral's name for it is "tRNA-Gln". It matches the Rfam family "tRNA". From Rfam's summary of the family: Transfer RNA (tRNA) molecules are approximately 80 nucleotides in length. Their secondary structure includes four short double-helical elements and three loops (D, anti-codon, and T loops). Lineage: Bacteria; Pseudomonadati; Pseudomonadota; Alphaproteobacteria; Hyphomicrobiales; Ahrensiaceae. The record is from RNAcentral. RNAcentral also lists the same sequence under 3 other names.
UGGGGCGUAGCCAAGUGGUAAGGCAGCGGUUUUUGGUAUCGCCAUGCGCUGGUUCGAAUCCAGCCGCCCCAGCCA